GCGACGAAGGAGUAGGUGGUGGGAUCUCACCGUGGGUCCGAUUAGCCUUUUCUCUGCCUUGCUUGCUUGAGCUUCAGCGGAAUUCGAAAUGGCUGGCGGUAAGGCUGGAAAGGACUCCGGAAAGGCCAAGACAAAGGCGGUUUCCCGCUCGCAGAGAGCCGGCUUGCAGUUCCCAGUGGGCCGUAUUCAUCGACACCUAAAAUCUAGGACGACCAGUCAUGGACGUGUGGGCGCGACUGCCGCUGUGUACAGCGCAGCCAUCCUGGAAUUCUGCCUUUUAGGUACUUGAACUGGCAGGAAAUGCAUCAAAAGACUUAAAGGUAAAGCGUAUUACCCCUCGUCACUUGCAACUUGCUAUUCGUGGAGAUGAAGAAUUGGAUUCUCUCAUCAAGGCUACAAUUGCUGGUGGUGUCAUUCCACACAUCCACAAAUCUCUGAUUGGGAAGAAAGGACAACAGAAGACUGUCUAAAGGAUGCCUGGAUUCCUUGUUAUCUCAGGACUCUAAAUACUCUAACAGCUGUCCAGUGUUGGUGAUUCCAGUGGACUGUAUCUCUGUGAAAAACACAAUUUUGCCUUUUUGUAAUUCUAUUUGAGCAAGUUGGAAGUUUAAUUAGCUUUCCAACCAACCAAAUUUCUGCAUUCGAGUCUUAACCAUAUUUAAGUGUUACUGUGGCUUCAAAGAAGCUAUUGAUUCUGAAGUAGUGGGUUUUGAUUGAGUUGACUGUUUUUAAAAAACUGUUUGGAUUUUAAUUGUGAUGCAGAAGUUAUAGUAACAAACAUUUGGUUUUGUACAGACAUUAUUUCCACUCUGGUGGAUAAGUUCAAUAAAGGUCAUAUCC
Molecule: long non-coding RNA, 840 nt
Filed under: Homo sapiens (human)
Lineage: Eukaryota; Metazoa; Chordata; Mammalia; Primates; Hominidae
Description: long non-coding RNA NONHSAT200228.1
Source: RNAcentral